Molecule: ribosomal RNA, 420 nt
Filed under: Triticum aestivum (bread wheat)
Lineage: Eukaryota; Viridiplantae; Streptophyta; Magnoliopsida; Poales; Poaceae
Description: partial small subunit ribosomal RNA
Source: RNAcentral
AUGGGUUUGACCGCAUCCGCAGGCGAGUACAAGCCGCAUGACGCGGUGUGCCACUGCGAGUGCACUCCCUACUGUCGCAUGCGUGCGCGACGGCAACGGUGCUUGUCAGCCUGCGCUUCAAGACAUAGUGUGUUUGGAUGUGGUAGCUUUGGUUGCAUUACGACACGAACUUCACAGGUGUAUUGCAGCAUCGGUUCUCUUUUUGUCCGCACAGUGUCAUCGAUGCGUUCAUCUACGACUACGGAGAGCGUGUUUCGGUUGAGACUGGCGGAGACAGGCCCGGCAGCCCGGGCGGCUGCCUGGAGCGUGAGCGCAGGUUGCUUUGUUGACUGUAGCGGUACUGUAGCUACAUUAGCUACACUACGAAGGCUGCCUGGGUCGGUCUGGUCGUUGCCGAUUCCUGGCGCCGCCGCUGGUUGA